CAUGCAGUCGAACGAUGAAGCCUUUCGGGGUGGAUUAGUGGCGAACGGGUGAGUAACACGUGGGCAAUCUGCCCUUCACUCUGGGACAAGCCCUGGAAACGGGGUCUAAUACCGGAUAACACUCUGUCCCGCAUGGGACGGGGUUAAAAGCUCCGGCGGUGAAGGAUGAGCCCGCGGCCUAUCAGCUUGUUGGUGGGGUAAUGGCCUACCAAGGCGACGACGGGUAGCCGGCCUGAGAGGGCGACCGGCCACACUGGGACUGAGACACGGCCCAGACUCCUACGGGAGGCAGCAGUGGGGAAUAUUGCACAAUGGGCGAAAGCCUGAUGCAGCGACGCCGCGUGAGGGAUGACGGCCUUCGGGUUGUAAACCUCUUUCAGCAGGGAAGAAGCGAAAGUGACGGUACCUGCAGAAGAAGCGCCGGCUAACUACGUGCCAGCAGCCGCGGUAAUACGUAGGGCGCAAGCGUUGUCCGGAAUUAUUGGGCGUAAAGAGCUCGUAGGCGGCUUGUCACGUCGGAUGUGAAAGCCCGGGGCUUAACCCCGGGUCUGCAUUCGAUACGGGCUAGCUAGAGUGUGGUAGGGGAGAUCGGAAUUCCUGGUGUAGCGGUGAAAUGCGCAGAUAUCAGGAGGAACACCGGUGGCGAAGGCGGAUCUCUGGGCCAUUACUGACGCUGAGGAGCGAAAGCGUGGGGGAGCG
RNAcentral lists this ribosomal RNA (699 nucleotides) under Streptomyces sp. YIM 56205. RNAcentral's name for it is "bacterial SSU rRNA". It matches the Rfam family "Bacterial small subunit ribosomal RNA", at positions 54 to 770 of the family's 1533-position model. The record is from RNAcentral. Lineage: Bacteria; Bacillati; Actinomycetota; Actinomycetes; Kitasatosporales; Streptomycetaceae.